This 276-nucleotide long non-coding RNA is filed under the name Elaeis guineensis (African oil palm). RNAcentral describes it as "long non-coding RNA (EGUI_LNC031955)". The record is from RNAcentral. Lineage: Eukaryota; Viridiplantae; Streptophyta; Magnoliopsida; Arecales; Arecaceae.
GUGGCCUUGUCUUGUUGAAUUAUUGGGUGCAUUAGUUCAAGGCCUAGGCAUAGCUAUUUGGAGAUUUCCCAUCUUGAUUGUUUCAUUACCACUUGUCUUUAUUUUUUAUUUAGAUUAUUGACUUCUUACGAUUGGUUUUACCACCACUUGCUUCUGCUGCAGGUUCUAAUUAACUGGAGCCUUAAGUCCAAAUGGAUUAUCGUAGUGGGGUUUGAUCCACUCUUUCUCUGAAUAUUUGCUGAUGCUGGUGUUUAAAUGGCUUUGAAGAUUUCGUAG